RNAcentral lists this ribosomal RNA (492 nucleotides) under uncultured bacterium. Its description in RNAcentral is "partial 16S ribosomal RNA". It matches the Rfam family "Bacterial small subunit ribosomal RNA", at positions 29 to 507 of the family's 1533-position model. The record is from RNAcentral.
AGUGAACGCUGGCGGUAGACCUAACACAUGCAAGUCGAACGGCAGCACAGUAAGAGCUUGCUCUUACGGGUGGCGAGUGGCGGACGGGUGAGGAAUACAUCGGAAUCUACUUUUUCGUGGGGGAUAACGUAGGGAAACUUACGCUAAUACCGCAUACGACCUACGGGUGAAAGCAGGGGAUCUUCGGACCUUGCGCGAUUGAAUGAGCCGAUGUCGGAUUAGCUAGUUGGCGGGGUAAAGGCCCACCAAGGCGACGAUCCGUAGCUGGUCUGAGAGGAUGAUCAGCCACACUAGAACUGAGACACGGUCCAGACUCCUACGGGAGGCAGCAGUGGGGAAUAUUGGACAAUGGGCGCAAGCCUGAUCCAGCCAUACCGCGUGGGUGAAGAAGGCCUUCGGGUUGUAAAGCCCUUUUGUUGGGAAAGAAAAGCAGCAGGUUAAUACCCCGCUGUUCUGACGGUACCCAAAGAAUAAGCACCGGCUAACUUCGUG